UUCCUUUUUUCCUGUUUCAGGUGGUGGUUGACCUGUGCUAUUCAUCUUUGUGAGGCCCUGGUUGCACUGAAGUUGUGCAGUAACAAAGGCAUCAAGGACAUGUCCACUCGGUGCCUGUGGUUUAUCCAGACCUUUCUGUUCGGCUUCGCCUCCCUCCACCUGCUAAUUAAGUACGACCCAGAGCGUUCCAAGCAGGACUGACCUUACCAGGAGAGGCCUACAGAACAACACAUCUGAGUCUAGAGACCCCUUCUUGGGCCCUCAAGUCUUUCCACUGUUCACUUUGAUUAUAAGAUCCUGCUGGAGAGCAUGAAAUGGAGCAAUACUCUUGAGCAGUUUCUUUAAUAGUGUCUUUUAAAAUAAUUCUAAAGACAUGGUGCAGUACAGGUGGGUUGGUUUUGGGGGGGGGGGUCCCUUUUUUCUCUGCUGCUUGGAUGAACGUGAUGCCUGACAGGUUUGCUGCAGAUGGUAUUUUGCCAUCAUCCUCAAAAGUGCUCUUGGAUUAUAUGAAGAGGGGAGAUGCUGUUAAAUUUGCCUUUCUCAGAUUAAAGUGCUGUGAUUCAUAGUCUUAAUGUUGACACUACAAAAUGAAGGAUGAGUGAACUGAA
Molecule: long non-coding RNA, 608 nt
Organism: Pundamilia nyererei
Lineage: Eukaryota; Metazoa; Chordata; Actinopteri; Cichliformes; Cichlidae
Exons: 2
Source: RefSeq, a predicted model, not a curated record